RNAcentral lists this ribosomal RNA (468 nucleotides) under uncultured bacterium. RNAcentral's name for it is "partial 16S ribosomal RNA". It matches the Rfam family "Bacterial small subunit ribosomal RNA", at positions 28 to 507 of the family's 1533-position model. The record is from RNAcentral.
GACGAACGCUGGCGGCGUGCUUAACACAUGCAAGUCGAACGGAAAGGCCCUGCUUUUGUGGGGUGCUCGAGUGGUGAACGGGUGAGUAACACGUGAGUAACCUGCCCUUGACUUUGGGAUAACUUCAGGAAACUGGGGCUAAUACCGGAUAGGAGCUCCUGCUGCAUGGUGGGGGUUGGAAAGUUUCGGCGGUUGGGGAUGGACUCGCGGCUUAUCAGCUUGUUGGUGGGGUAGUGGCUUACCAAGGCUUUGGCGGGUAGCCGGCCUGAGAGGGUGACCGGCCACAUUGGGACUGAGAUACGGCCCAGACUCCUACGGGAGGCAGCAGUGGGGAAUAUUGCACAAUGGGCGGAAGCCUGAUGCAGCAACGCCGCGUGCGGGAUGACGGCCUUCGGGUUGUAAACCGCUUUCGCCUGUGACGAAGCGUGAGUGACGGUAAUGGGUAAAGAAGCACCGGCUAACUACGUG